GGGCUCACACAAGCGGUGGAGGAUGUGGCUUAAUUCGAGGCUACGCGAAGAACCUUAUCCUAGAUUUGACAUGCACGGAUUAACUCUGUGAAAGCAGAGCCACACUCUUUGAGUGGAACGUGCACAGGUGCUGCAUGGCUGUCGUCAGCUCGUGUCGUGAGAUGUCGGGUUAAGUCCCUUAACGAGCGAAACCCUUAUCGUUAGUUGCCAGCGAGUAAUGUCGGGGACUCUAGCGAGACUGCCGGUGUUAAACCGGAGGAAGGUGGGGAUGACGUCAAGUCCUCAUGGCCUUUAUGUCUAGGGCUGCACACGUCCUACAAUGGCGCGCACAGAGGGAAGCGAACUCGCGAGAGCAAGCAAA
Molecule: ribosomal RNA, 361 nt
Filed under: uncultured bacterium
Lineage: Bacteria
Description: bacterial SSU rRNA
Rfam family: Bacterial small subunit ribosomal RNA
Source: RNAcentral